UUUAAAGUCUAAUCUGCCCCCUGAAAUUAUUUUAAAGGGCUGCGGUAUUUUAACCGUACAAAGGUAGCAUAAUAAUUAGGUUUUUGAUUGAAAUCUAGAAUGAAUGAUUGGACGAGAUACAAGCUGUUUUAUAAUAAUUAAUUAAAAUUUAAUUUUUUAGUCAAAAAGCUAAAAUUUUAUUAAAAGACGAGAAGACCCUAUAAAUCUUUAUAAUAAAUUUAUUUUAAUAAAUUAUUUUAUUUAAAUUAAUAAUUUUAAUAUUAAAUUAUUUUAUUGGGGUGAUACAAAAAUUUAAUUAACUUUUUUAUUAAAAUUUCUUAAAUUAAAGAUUUAUAAAAAUAUGAUCUAUUAUUAAUAAUUCAGAGAGUAAGAUACUUUAGGGAUAACAGCGUAAUUUUAAUUUUAAGUUCUUAUUAAAAUUAAAGAUUGCGACCUCGAUGUUGGAUUAAAAUUUAAUUUAAAUGCAAAGGUUUAAAAAUUAAGUCUGUUCGACUUUU
RNAcentral lists this ribosomal RNA (497 nucleotides) under Drusus monticola. Its description in RNAcentral is "partial 16S ribosomal RNA". RNAcentral also lists the same sequence under 1 other name. The record is from RNAcentral. Lineage: Eukaryota; Metazoa; Arthropoda; Insecta; Trichoptera; Limnephilidae.